This 420-nucleotide ribosomal RNA is filed under the name uncultured bacterium. RNAcentral describes it as "bacterial SSU rRNA". It matches the Rfam family "Bacterial small subunit ribosomal RNA", at positions 382 to 793 of the family's 1533-position model. The record is from RNAcentral.
CCUGACGCAGCAACGCCGCGUGAGUGAUGAAGGCUUUCGGCUCGUAAAGCUCUGUCAAGUGGAAAGAAACUGCUUUGUGCGAAUACCAUAAAGCAUUGACGGUUCCACUGAAGGAAGCACCGGCUAACUCCGUGCCAGCAGCCGCGGUAAUACGGGGGGUGCUAGCGUUAUUCGGAAUCAUUGGGCGUAAAGGGCGCGUAGGCGGUUGUUUAAGUCAGGUGUGAAAGCCCUCGGCUUAACCGAGGAAGUGCAUCUGAUACUAAGCAACUUGAGUAUGGGAGAGGGAAGCGGAAUUCCUGGUGUAGCGGUGAAAUGCGUAGAUAUCAGGAGGAACACCGGUGGCGAAGGCGGCUUCCUGGACCAAUACUGACGCUGAGGCGCGAAGGCGUGGGGAGCAAACAGGAUUAGAUACCCUGGUAG